GACGAACGCUGGCGGCGUGCUUAACACAUGCAAGUCGAACGGAAAGGCCCUGCUUUUGUGGGGUGCUCGAGUGGCGAACGGGUGAGUAACACGUGAGUAACCUGCCCUUGACUUUGGGAUAACUUCAGGAAACUGGGGCUAAUACCGGAUAGGAGCUCCUGCUGCAUGGUGGGGGUUGGAAAGUUUCGGCGGUUGGGAUGGACGCGCGGCUUAUCAGGCUGUUGGUGGGGUAGUGGCUUACCAAGGCUUUGACGGGUAGCCGGCCUGAGAGGGUGACCGGCCACAUUGGGACUGAGAGACGGCCCAGACUCCUACGGGAGGCAGCAGUGGGGAGUAUUGCACAAUGGGCGGAAGCCUGAUGCAGCAACGCCGCGUGCGGGAUGACGGCCUUCGGGUUGUAAACCGCUUUCGCCUGUGACGAAGCGUGAGUGACGGUAAUGGGUAAAGAAGCACCGGCUAACUACGUG
Molecule: ribosomal RNA, 467 nt
Filed under: uncultured bacterium
Lineage: Bacteria
Description: partial 16S ribosomal RNA
Rfam family: Bacterial small subunit ribosomal RNA
Source: RNAcentral